AACGAACGCUGGCGGCAUGCCUAACACAUGCAAGUCGAACGAGACCUUCGGGUCUAGUGGCGCACGGGGGCGUAACGCGUGGGAACCUGCCCUUAGGUUCGGAAUAACUCCCCGAAAGGGGUGCUAAUACCGGAUAAUGUCUUCGGACCAAAGAUUUAUCGCCUUUGGAUGGGCCCGCGUUGGUUUAGCUAGUUGGUAGGGUAAAAGCCUACCAAGGCGACGAUCCAUAGCUGGUCUGAGAGGAUGAUCCGCCACACUUGGACUGAGACGCGGCCCAGACUCCUAGGGGAGGCAGCAGUGGGGAAUAUUGGACAAUGGGCGAAAGCCUGAUCCAGCAAUGCCGCGUGAGUGAUGAAGGCCUUAGGGUUGUAAAGCUCUUUUACCCGGGAUGAUAAUGACAGUACCGGGAGAAUAAGCUCCGGCUAACUCCGUG
Molecule: ribosomal RNA, 433 nt
Filed under: uncultured bacterium
Lineage: Bacteria
Description: partial 16S ribosomal RNA
Rfam family: Bacterial small subunit ribosomal RNA
Source: RNAcentral